RNAcentral lists this ribosomal RNA (492 nucleotides) under uncultured bacterium. Its description in RNAcentral is "partial 16S ribosomal RNA". It matches the Rfam family "Bacterial small subunit ribosomal RNA", at positions 29 to 507 of the family's 1533-position model. The record is from RNAcentral.
AGUGAACGCUGGCGGUAGGCCUAACACAUGCAAGUCGAACGGCAGCACAGUAAGAGCUUGCUCUUACGGGUGGCGAGUGGCGGACGGGUGAGGCAUACAUCGGAAUCUACUUUUUCGUGGGGGAUAACGUAGGGAAACUUACGCUAAUACCGCAUACGACCUACGGGUGAAAGCAGGGGAUCUUCGGACCUUGCGCGAUUGAAUGAGCCGAUGUCGGAUUAGCUAGUUUGCGGGGUAAAGGCCCACCAAGGCAACGAUGCGUAGCUGGUCUGAGAGGAUGAUCGGCCACACUGGAACUGAGACACGGUCCAGACUCCUACGGGAGGCAGCAGUGGGGAAUAUUGGACAAUGGGCGCAAGCCUGAUCCAGCCAUACCGCGUGAGUGAAGAAGGCCUUCGGGUUGUAAAGCCCUUUUGUUGGGAAAGAAAAGCAGCAGGUUAAUACCCCGCUGUUCUGACGGUACCCAAAGAAUAAGCACCGGCUAACUUCGUG